AUUGAACGCUGGCGGCAGGCCUAACACAUGCAAGUCGAACGAGUGGCGGACGGGUGAGUAAUGUCUGGGAAACUGCCUGAUGGAGGGGGAUAACUACUGGAAACGGUAGCUAAUACCGCAUACCAUCGGAUGUGCCCAGAUGGGAUUAGCUAGUAGGUGGGGUAAAGGCUCACCUAGGCGCCGAUCCCUAGCUAGUCUGAGAGGAUGACCAGCCAGACUGGAACUGAGACCCGGUCCAGACUCCUACGGGAGGCAGCAGUGGGGAAUUUUGCACAAUGGGCGCAAGCCUGAUGCAGCCAUGCCGAGUGUAUGAAGACGGCCUUCGGUUUGUAAAGUACUUUCAGCGGGGAGGCGUUACCCGCAGAAGAAGCACCGGCUAACUCCGGGCCAGCAGCCGCGGUAAUUC
RNAcentral lists this ribosomal RNA (406 nucleotides) under uncultured bacterium. RNAcentral's name for it is "partial 16S ribosomal RNA". It matches the Rfam family "Bacterial small subunit ribosomal RNA", at positions 30 to 526 of the family's 1533-position model. The record is from RNAcentral.